Molecule: long non-coding RNA, 1052 nt
Organism: Python bivittatus (Burmese python)
Lineage: Eukaryota; Metazoa; Chordata; Lepidosauria; Squamata; Pythonidae
Source: RefSeq, a predicted model, not a curated record
UCAGGAGCUAUGGGCACUCACGUGUAGAAGCAGUGGCCAGCUACUCAUUGGAAACAUGACUGGAUGAACAGUAUAUGCUCGUGGGGAUUGCUCACAUGGCUUCUCAACAAAGCAUCAACUGUAAAGGAAGAAGCAGAGCUUGGUGUUCCUUUCCCCACCUCCCUACAAAUUGAUUGGUGUGAAUGCUAGUUGCUUGUUACUGACUCCUCCAUAAGCUUAUUUUGAUUUGAGCUGUUGGCUAGAUAAAAACAACAGCAUACUGAGGGUAAUAAUAGGAGGGCUGAGGCAUUCCUCACAAUAUCAGUCAAUAUUGUGCUCACUUAAAUGCUAAAGCUGUCAGUCUGCUUCUACCAAGCAGCACAUCUUACUCUGUUUCUUCACUCUGCAUAAAGUUGCUCACCACAAAAUGGAAUAGCAUGAUGGGUAUGUAUACAUAUAGAUGUGGGAGAAAACACCCUGGAACUAUCCAACUGAAAUGGAAGAUUAAUGUUCUCUAAAGCAGGAUUCCUCAAGCUCAGUAACUUUAAGAUGGGUGGACUUCAACUCCCAGAAUUCCCCAGCCAGCCACUGAAUCUACUACCUCUGCUUUUACUUCCUAAUUUGCAUGAAAUAAAGCAGCUUUCCUGCUUUGCUUUCCUCAUCCCUGUCAAUCUUUUAUCAAAUCUCAAAUCAAUUUGAUUAGAGCUGUGUUGUCUUUCAAUCUCAAAAUUCAGAUUGGAAUAAAAUCCUAGCUGAUUCACAUACACAGAGAUUGGCAAUAAAUAAUUGAUUUAUUUCAAAUAAAACAACAUACUUUUUUUAGAGCAACUUUAAAUAUAUUUUCUCCAUGUGAUUAACAUUAAGUAUUGCAAGAAUGUACUUAUAACUAUCAGAAAGGGACUUCAGCUGAGACAAAUUAGAUAUACACAGGGAGAGAGAUUGACAGCACAAUCCAAUCAAACAAUGCCUAUCAUUAUUUCAAAAGUAAAUUCUACGGAACUUGGACUGGACUUUACUCUGAAGUUGUAUGUAGAAAUCUGUUGCCUGAAAUUUCACUAUGAUAUGAAUAAAUA